This 68-nucleotide transfer RNA is filed under the name Anabolia bimaculata. RNAcentral describes it as "tRNA-Arg". Lineage: Eukaryota; Metazoa; Arthropoda; Insecta; Trichoptera; Limnephilidae. The record is from RNAcentral.
UAAAUAGGAAGCUAUGAUAGCACUUAAUUUCGACUUAAGCUUUGAGAGUAAAUUCUCUCCUUAUUUAU